GUCUCCACAAAUAGCAGGCGUGUGAUCGCCUAGCUUGUGUCUGUCCACUUCCUUUCCUAGAAGACACCCCUCCUUUGUUCCUGUGACUACCUUCUUCAGGAUUGGUACCCACUACUUCCGGGAACUUCCAGGGUCUCUGCACCCUGGCCAGGUUCCUUCCUCGGGAACCAGGGGGGAGGGCAUGGUGCGGAAGCAGGGAAUGAGGGUGCAAGUGAGAGCUUGCCCAUCCCUCAAAGGCCCAAAUGGGAGGGGAUGGUGAACUGACCAAGGUAACCCGUUUUGCUUUAACCUGACUCCAUUUGUGUGCUUCACCCAACAGCUCCGUGGCCCUGAUGGGUUAUGGUGUUACGGGGUUGCAGACCACUGGGAAACAUCACGCAGACUCAAACAAAUCCAGUUAGCUGAAUGUUGGCCAGCUGACUGUAAGAGGUCUGAACUUCCUCCAUUUUACAAACUGGGUCCAAGUUUCUGUUUCUUAAAGGGCUGUUAAUCAACAAACAGCACCCCUGAUAGCAGGGACAAGGGAGAGAGCAUGGACAAGGCCUGAUUCCGCGUCACAGUAUCUCAAAGCAAUGACCAAUAAGGACAGUUCCUACCGGUUGUGCCCAGAUCGAGACCCCCAUUGAGACCACUGAAGUCGAGCAUUCUGGAAUGCAAAAGCAAGGCUUUAUUCGGGCGCAAUACAAGCCUAGUCAGGGACCUCGGCAAGCACACCCGACCCAGCGGAGGAUGGAAUAGGUACUCAGCCUGAAUUGAACAUAGUUUUUUAAAGGCAAAAACCAUAGGAUUACAACAGCAAAGAAUUAUUUCCGUACGGGUUCCUGGAAUUUGGGUCAACGGUUCCAGGAACCUACACCUAGAAUGUAGAAGCUUACAAAAUGGAGGCCUUAUUAAGAUGGAGGUGCUUUGGUCUCACACUACAACCUCCCCCCUUCAAAACUUACCCAGUGGGUAGCCAUUCCAGCUUUGAUCUGGAAGUUCCAACCCCCAUUGAGGCUUCGGCAACUGUCACGCCUACAAGGUGGGGCGGCGCCUGGGGACCCGAGAUCUGGAUGGGCGAGUGCUCUCAGUUCCUGGACCCCAGACGGAGACGUUGACUGAGCAGAGCUCCAGAGAACACCGCUGGACUGCAAUACACCUUCCCCAGACCCCGCGACCUACCUAUUCCUUCAUUUCACCAAUCUACUUCAGAUGGACAUUGAAGAAACCCCACAUGGAAUUUACUUUCUUUGUGGCAAAAGUAAGCCACUGAGCAAGAAAAUGCCCUUGCCUUGACUGCUGACAAAAUGCUGUCCAAAUUGGACAAGCAGGAUACAAAAGAAAGUGAAAACUGAACUUUGCCAAGACAAGGUAUGACAGCCCUUCAGAAAAUUCUGCUUCACAGAAAAGUCUAACCAAUAUGCUAGGACUGUAGUCUGAAGAUGGAUGCCCCAAUAUUGCAAAGGAAUCUUGGAUGACUGUCCAGGCAGCCAGCUGUUUCUGUCAUUUCUCACAGUUUUUGGAAGUUGCUUGCUUGCACUUCCUGCUUAUUCAGGUAAUAUUUCCUUCUUGAGUCUCUGAUAGAGUUGAAGACUUUAUAGUUAUAGUUUUAGUUUUCCUUGUUACCAGAUUCAGAAAAGAAAUCCACUAAAGAGGUAUAAAGUGUAUAGCGUUGAGAGACAUUAAAAGAGAGUUUUGAUAAUGCAAGUUAGAAUAGAAUGUGAAUUAGUUAAAACCCUUUGGACUCACCAAGAUAGGAUAGAUAGUGGAAUAUUUUCUCUGAAUUUGUUAAAUGUUAAUGGACUGGGCAUUGUUAAUAUAAUUAUUGCUUGUAUAUAUUAUAUAUAGUUAUUGUAUUUAUUGUAUAUAGUUUCUCUUAUAUUAGUUAUAACCUUCUUUUCUAUUUUAGACAAAAAGGGAAUAUGUGGUGAUAUUUUGUUUGUCCUUUAACAAAUAAAGCUUGCCUGGAGAUCAGAGUGCAGAGCUAGCCACUAGAUGCCAGGCAGUGGUGGCACACACCUUUAAUCCCAGCACUUGAAAGGAGGAAACGGAAAGUGAUAUGGCUGGGUGGAGAGGGGAAGUGAUAAGGCAGGGUGCAGACAGGAGCUCAGCCUUUUCAAUCUGAGGAUUCCUAGAGGGAAGAAGUCUUACUAGCGGCUGCUCUGGUCCUCUGAUCUUUCUUCCUUCACUCUGAUAUCUGACUCUGGGUUUUUAUUAAUAAUACCAAUCAGAAUUUGUGCUACAAGCCAUCCUCCAGAUCCCCAUGCCUCAGACCAAAAAACAACUAUGCAAAUUUCUGGGGGUAGCAGGUUAAUGCUGUCUUUGGAUCCUUGGUCUUGCCAAGAUAGCAAGGCUUUCUAUGUGACUACUACAGCAGAGAAACCAUGAAAAUGGACUGAGAUAGAAAACCAAGCCUUUCAGGACUUGAGAAUGCCCUAAUACAAUACCCAGUUCAGGCCUUACCUGAUGUCACAAAACUGCUCCAUCCUCCUUUUCAUUCAUGAGUUCUGAGGGAUUACCAAAGGUAUGCUUACCCAGACCUUUGGAUCGUAUCAGAGGCCUGAAGAAUACCUAUCCAAAUGCUUGGCUUCUGGGUGGUCACCCUGACUGUGUCAUAGCUGCUACCAGCCCUGUUGGUAAAGGAGGCUGACAGGCUCACCUUAGACCAGGACUUACCCCUUAUGGAGAUCCUGUUCCAGGGAUCAAAUGCCUGAUGGAUGUCAAAUGGCCACAUUUCCCAAUACUAGAGCCUGUUUCUCCAUCAGCUCCAUGUUCAGAGCCUCAGCCCAGCAACAGUGAUGCCAGACAGUGACCUGAAAGUACUCUUUGUUUGUUUGUUUGUUUUUAUUUUUUUCGAGACAGGGUUUCUCUGUGUAGUUUUGGACCUGUCCUGGAUCUCGCUCUGUAGACCAGGCUGGCCUCAAACUCACAGAGAUCCACCUGGCUCUGCCUCCCGAGUGCUGGGAUUAAAGGCGUGCAGCACCACUGCCCAGCCUGAAAGUACUCUUAAAGAAUUGAGAGGAUCCAUUGGACAUCUUCCUCAGAUUAGCUUCCCAGACUUCCACCUCCACCCAAACAUCCCCUUGCCUGAGGCAGACAUUGGCUUGUUUACAUGUGGAAGCAGCCUCAUAAUGAAUAGGGUUCAAGGGGCAAGAGCUUCUGUGACCACCAGAAAGGAUAUCAUUUUGGCCCAGGGCCUGCCUCUGGGCACCUUCACACAAAAGGCUGAGCUGAUUGUUCUUGCCUGGGCUUUGCUUGGGAAAGGGUAAUUGGGUAAACAUCUUCAAAGACAGCAGGUAUUCCUUCACCAGUCUUCAUGCCAAUGCCACAAUCUAUAGGGUAAGGGGGCUCCUAGUUGUGGAAGAAAAACCAUCAAAAACAAAAAGGAAAGUCUAGCUCUCCUCGAGGCUAUCUGGCUCCCCAAGGAAAUAACAGUCAUACACUGCAGGGAUCAUCAAAAGGCUGACAUUGACAGACCAAGGGGCCCUAGCAGGCUGCCGAACUCUGCAUUGAGCUGUGCACUGUUCUGCCCAUAACCUUUUCUGACCUAGUGUUCCCCCUCAGCCAACAUACACAGAGAGAGAAGACAGUGCUCAUUCCUAGGGAACACAAAAGAACCCUGUGCAAUGGUGGACCCUGCUGGACUACAGGAUCAUUCUUCCCACAGCCCUCAGACAUCUCCUUGUGGACCAACUACACCAGAGGACCCACCUAGGUGCCACCAAACUGACUGGGUCACUAUCUUUUAAAUAACAGAUCUGCCAGGUUCAAAAACUAACCACCUAGCCAGUCUUUCUCUGCCUCUCAUACAGUCAGGUCAACCCUAAACAAGGAUUCAAAGGUACUGGUAUGCAGGCCAUUCUCUGUUACGAGAUAUUUGAUUACACUGUGAAAAGAUAUGUCACUGUGACAUUGGUUUAGUAAAAAGCUAAAUAGCUAAUAGAUAGGCAGGAGGUCUAGGUGGGACUUCUUGACAGAAAGAGCUCUGGGAAGAAGAGUCACCAGCUGGACACAGAGGGAACCAGACAUGCAGGAGGAGAGGUAAAAGCCAGGAGCCAUGUGGCAGCAUAAAGAUUAAUAAAAAUGGAUUAACUUGUUAUAAGAGCUAUUUAGAAAGAAACCUAAGCUAUACGCUGAACUUUCAUAAUUAAUAAUAGGUCUCCAUGUCAUUUUUUUUUUAAAGCUGAAAUCCCAAAGAAAAUCUGUCUACAAAUGGUACCCCAAAUGGGGCUACAUAUAUCCACAUAAGGACUGAGAAAAGUUGUUUUUUGAAGUUCAGAACAUGGAGUCAAGCAUGGUUUCCUAGUGACCACAGUCUUCUGGGUAGGCUCAGUGAUGUUCAGGGAUAUGGCUACUGGCCAUUGCCUGUGGACUGGAGCCAGCUGGCAGCAGCAUGUGCCAGCACCAUGAGCUAAGCUGAGCUGCAUGGCACUUGACUUGUCUCAUGUAUGGGAGGCCAGCUGGGAGACCAGCUCCCACAUUCUAUCCCAGGGUACUCUUGAGGAGUGAGGGAUAAGAGAUUUAGAUAGAAGGAUAGAGGGGAGAAAAACAGAAAUACAGGAUCGGCUCAAGAUGGCCUGGAUCCUCUCCACUGGUCCCUCCUGUUUCUUCUAAAGGGCUAUUUAUAGGAAUGCCAAGGGGUGGAGCAAAAGACCUCUCCCUAGCUCAGCCAAAUGUAGACCCUUCCAACCACCUAGAAACCAUGCACAUGGUCAAGCAAUCAUCUAAUGCAGUUCUGCUGGGUAACGCAAGC
Molecule: long non-coding RNA, 4732 nt
Organism: Peromyscus californicus insignis
Lineage: Eukaryota; Metazoa; Chordata; Mammalia; Rodentia; Cricetidae
Exons: 4
Source: RefSeq, a predicted model, not a curated record